GAGCGCCCUGAGGGGUGAGCCCCCUCAUGGAUGAGUCAGUCACCUGAGGGAUGAGACCCCUCAUGGAUGAGCUCCCUGAGGGGUGGUUUUGGACAGCUGUAAUUCUCCUGCAUUGAGAGAGGCCUUUCAGCAUUGUCUUCAAUCAGCAUUUUGAAUGAAGUGCUUAAUUGUGCCAAAAAUUCAUUGCAAUACACAGGAUAUGGUCCUUCCUUUUGUGAUCCAUCAGCAGCUGAAGCAUUCCUGAAAGGAAACCUGUUGAACAUACAUGGGUUUGGCAAGAGUGAGUUGAGCCCUCUAUUGGUUUUGAAAAAGGGUGUUUUCUCCACAAAUCCAAAGCAAAGCAAUUCCUGUAAGCUGAACACUCAGUAAUGGCAAACGUGAAGAAACUAAGGAGACAAGGAAGAACUUUCCACAGAGGUUUUUCUCGUGGAAAAUGGUGGGAAGAGAUAAGACACUUCAGAAGCUGUUGAGACACACUGGUCCCCAAAACACUUCAGAUAUGACUGAUAUGUCUGGAAUAUUUUCUUCUGUCUUGCUGACAUGGCUGGAAAUCUGCAAAGGCAGCAUCCUACAGCUCUCUCAGGGGGAUGCAACAGCAGAAAGACCUCUCAGGUGGUACCAUGUCUGCAUAUCACUGUACACAUUCCACCCACAGAAUCUUCCUGGUUUCCUCUAAAGAUUUAGCCCAUCACAAGGUGUUGGCAUCUCUCUUUUCAGUUGCUAAGUUGUUUUUACAAGGCAGUUAAAAGCAUAUUAAAUACUUUCCUAAAAUUAUUUUUCCACGGAGGAAAUUGCUGUAUUUGGCACAAUGAUAUUAUAUGAUCAUUAAUGGGAAGUGAAACUGAGCCAGUUUCUCUUCAAAGUGUGGCCAGCCCUGUGGGACAAUUUGAGAACUCCUGUUUCAAAUAUGUUUAGUUGUGUAUGUUUAGAAACUGCUUUGGUGUUAUUCACCUCCUGACACUGACACUUUUGCUGUGCAUAGCUGAGAUUCUUGCAUAAUUUAACAGAGCCAUCUCAGGUGUCUCCCACUCUGUUCCCAGCAUUCAAGCUGUGUUCUCUGGGCUGUGGCACAGUUUGUGUUACAUUACAUUUACUGAAGAGUUUACAUGACUUGCUUGUUUAGAAAAUUUUCUAGAAAACAGGUUGGGUGGGGGUUUUUUUCAUUCACAUCUAUUUUAUUUGCUGCAAAAAUACUUUAUGACAGCUGUCUCCAGCCAAGUUUAUUUCCUUCUCUGAUAUGAAUAAAAACAAAUUAUUCUAUUUUUCAUCUCAAAUUCCAGCAUUGUUGGUGCAAGUGAUAGUCAUAAACAUAUUUUUUUCUGUUGCAUUUUAAAUACUUUGUUAUUUUUUUGUGUUACUGUUUCAUCUUCAUAGUAUUCCAGCAGACAGGCUUGUGGACAGCACAAAGGACUGGCUGAAUGGAACUGGAACCAGCAAAAUAUCUGUUUCAGUCAUUGCAAACUGAGGAUACUGGAAAAUAUAAUGUUUCAGUCAUUGCAAAUCAAGGAUACUGGAAAAUAUGUUAAAAUGGUUUCAUUUAUUAAAGGCAUAUUUAGUUUGUUUUCUCACUUUUUCCUAUUAUAAUUGCAAAACCUUCUGAUUUUUUUUUUUUUUGUUCAGCAAUACUCCAAAGUAUUGCUAUCUAGGUAUAGUAAAUGAAUUAUGCAAAUUAUUUUAUUGAACAAACAUGCACAUUUAUGUGUACACAUUAUUUGCCUGGUCUUCCUAUUACAGAUGCAGCUUGUAGUAACAUCCUAGUUUGUUAAAGCAAAAACCUGCUCUAGAGAUUCCAGAUUUCUGACUGAUACAGUAGAACUCUGUCAUGCUUGUGUAGGGCACGUGGAGCUUGAAUACAGUAAUAUAAAUAAAUAUUGAAAUAUGUUGAACAUUAUUUUUUGUUGGGUUAGGUUGAGAAAUUUUUCUAGCUGCUCAUAACAUAAUUUUAACUUUCUUCUUCCAUUAUAUUUAUAAAAGUCUCAAAAUACAUCAUUUUUUUCCCCUUCACCUUGUAAAAUUUUCUGUCUAUAAUGUUAUUUAUGGAAUACUAGGUUGGAAGGGACCUGAAGAAUUUUCUGGUCCAAUCUUUCUUGGCAAAAGCAUCAUCCAGACCAGAUGAUCCAGCAUCCUGCCCAGACUAAUCUUAAAAGUGUCCAAAGUUGGGAAAUCCACCACAUUUUUUGGGAGAUUAUUCCAGUGGUUGGUUGUUCUUGUUAAAAAUAUUUCUCUUGUGUCCAAUUGGAAUUUCUGUGGAUGUAACUUGGACUCAUUGCCCUCUGACUUUUCCAUGUGUCUCAUUUUAAAAAUUGACUCUCCGUCUUCUUUGUAGCCACCCAUUAAAGACUAGAGCCAUUACCUCCAUCAGAUCUCCCCUGACCUUUCUUAUCUCAAGGCUGAGCAAGCCCAGUUCUCUCAAGCCUUUCCUCACGUGGCAGGCUUUGAGCCUUUGGAUCAUCUUUGUGGCCCUUCUCUGGAGCAUCUCCAGCUGCCCACCUAUUUUUUGUGAAGCAGGGACAAAAACUGAAUUCACUAUUCCAGGUGUAGUCUGGCAAGUGCUGAGUAGAGUGGGAUAAUGACAUCUUUAUCUGUGCUGUUGAUGCCCUUGUUGAUUCAGCCCAGCUUCUGGAGCUUCUCCCCCGCAGCUGGUAGAUCCCAGCUUGUGCUGCGCUCAGGGAUUAUACUUUCCCAGGUGCAAGACCUUACUCUUGUCCUUGUUAACUUCAUAAUGUUUCGGUAGCUCACUCUUCCAGCCUAUCCAGGUCUUCCCAAAGGGUGGCUCUUCAUCCCAAAGUGUCCAGUCUCGCACUCAGUUUAGGGGAAGCAAACUACAUCAGUUGCACUUGACCCCAUCACCCAGAUUUGCUUUUCAAGAUAUUAAACAGAGCUGGGCCCAAUAUUGAUCCCUGGGAGGCCCCAUUUGGGGCAGGGGGAAAGGAGCUGUUUGUCACCCUGCUCUGGGUGCAGCCUUUCAGGCAGCUGCCCACCAUGUGGACCCUUGUCUAGACCAUAGCAUCUCAAUUCUCUAGGAGGAGCCUGAUGGAAACUGCAUCAAGAGCCUUGUAGAAAGGCUCUUAAUAAAAUAAUAAUGUCCACUGCUCAUCCCACAUCAACUGAACAGGUUACUUCAUUGUAAAAGGUGAUCAGAUGAUCAGGUUGUUAAACAUGAUUUACCCUUGGUGAAGCCAUGCUGGCUUUUCCUAACCACAUGCUUCAUCUGAUAGCCCCAGAAGGAUUCAUUCCAUAAUUUUCCCAGACACUGAAGUAAGACUGAUGGGCCUAUAAUUUCCUGGAGCCUCCUUUAAGCCAUUUGUAGAGAUGGGUGUGACAUUAGUCUUCUGGGUUGCCCACAGUCUCCACAACUUCUCAAAGCUUGAGGAGAGUGGCCUCAUAACAACACGAACCAGCUCCUAACACCCUUGGGUGAAUAUUGUAAGGCUCCAUAAAUUUGAUGGGGUCAAGUUCCUGUAGAGUUCAUCCACCAGCUCUUCAUUCACUGAUGGUGGGUCUGUGCUUGCAUCAAUAUGGAUUUUUGAUCCCAAGGCCCAAUAGUGGUGGUAAAGAGAGGUGAAGAAAGCCUUCAGCCUUUUAAGUGUUGUUGGUGACUAAUUCAUCUCUCCUCUUUAACAAUGGGCCAGUAUUUCCCUUUUGUUUCUGUUUGUUGGUUACAAAUCUGAAGAACCCUUCCUUGUGGUUUUUGACAUCUCUGGCCCAUUUCAACUCGAGUUUUGCUUUUCUGACUGCAUCUCUGCACACCCUGGUAGUUCUCAAUGAGUAUUCAUUUAUUUCCAUCUCUGGUUCUUGUCUCUUUUAUUUCUGAGCAAACACAGAAGCUCUCAGUUAAGCCAAGGGGGUCUCUUGCUCCACCUGCUUUCCUUGCCUCUAAGGGGGAUGAAUAUUUUGUGCUUCCAGGAGAACAUUCUUGAAAAAAUUCCCAGCACUCACUAAGUCCUUUAUCCUCCAUGGAAUCCCUCUCACUUGAGCUCUGAGUGAGCUAAGUUGGCUCUUCUAUGAUCUCAAACCUUUGUCUUAGUACUAAUCUUCAGUGUACUCAGCCAGAACCCAGUGUUUUUCUGUAGGACCACCUUUAGGAUUUCUAGUAUAUGAUAAUUGCUCCUCAGGAUCCAGCUGUCAUAGAAGUACACACAUAUGGAGAUCUGACCUUUUUGUUCUGCAUGCUUGUUACAGAAAACUACUAUUAAUGAAUUUGGAUGUGGCUGCAAGCCAAGGAUGUGCUGUUCCAUGAGUGUGAUCCUGCAUCUGCAUUUUAGUCUUUCCCUCACAGACUGAAGACUGAUGCUCAGAGAUCAAAGUCAGAAGCUGAGAAGUGGGGUCCACUGUGUUUUUGAAUGGCAGGCAGAAGAAGUAUGAAGAAAAAUAGAAUAUAGUGAGAUAAACAGUUAUCAUUUCAUUUUAAUUUGCUAUCUGAAUGCUUGAUCUCAUUUGCCUACAUUUUCUCCACAAAGCCCUGUCUAAUCCUCCCCCACGCUAAGGCAGGGAGCAGAGUUUGCUGCUUCAUUCCCUUUGGGCAGCACAUGGAACUGAACAGAAAACAGAUCUCCCUUUAGUAUAUCCUAAAUUAUCAUCAUGUACAGCUGAAGUACUGAGCUGAACUUUUAGGAAAUGCAUUAGAAAAGAGGCCACAGCUCAGGUGCAGACAUGACACCAAGCCUAACAGUAAAUAUGCAACUGCAGGCCCACAAAAGCACAUUAACUAGUAAAGAUGAGGGAGACAGAUGAAAUUUUUCAUAAAUUAGCAUAUACUUGUGGCAUGUUUUCAUCUCAAAUGCUCAUGGGGCCACUGAUGCUGAGUGCUUCUGGCAAAUAUUCUAUUCCAGAGGGGAAAAGGGUUGCUGUGGAGCUAACCUUGCCCUCCCAGUUCACAGACGUUGCUAUGUAUGUGGCUGCAAAUUGGGGAAUACCAGAAGAGGAGCCACAGUGCCUGAGAUGCACCACCAGCACUGGUGCAUUUACUUGUGCAUUUAGAAAGAAUUUUCUAGACUGAAAAAUAAUAUCUAUUGCUGAUAAGUAAUGUAAGAUGAAAGAUGCUCAUUAUCUAUCCAGCUAUUACCAGUCAUUGUUAAGCAUACUUGUUCUCUAUCAGAUAGUUAAACUACUCUUUACUAGACUUAUGUGACAAAAACUGAGUGCCAUGUACUCCUCCAGAUACCAGGAAAGACACCCGAAUUUAAUAUGAAUUUUCCUCCAGGACCCAGCAAGAUCUAUACCUUUCUCUUGCACCUAAAAAGGUAUGGUAAAAUCUACCCUCAGUAUCAGGAUUUCACUCAGCUAUAAUGUUCUUAGUCUUCACCAAAGUGCCUCAAGAGCAUAAGAUUUGAAGCUUCCUGGUAAGUGCCAGAUUCUUUAGAUCUGUGCUCAUUUAUUGUCUUCGGAUGACUCAAGCACAGGCAAAUUCCUUACAGGCAGUAGUGAGACUGGUCUCAGAUUCACCUCUUCCUAAGUAGAAGUGGAGAUGCUUUGAGUUCAGGCUGCAGCAAAUCUCACAUCCAGAAAAAAAGUGUGUGUUCUGGAUAAAUCCACUGGCAAACCAUUUUUCCAUCCUGGGAAGAUCGUGAAGCAGUCGCUGCUUCUCGGCCUUCCUAGAUCUCCUCUAUGCUUGGGCACAAGCUCCUGCCUGUGAAAGGCGAUUUAGACUAACAGGACCAUAAGCCACUCAGGAUCAGCAGAAAUAGGGACCAUGAGUCUGACCAGAGCUGGUGAGUGCCACACUCCUCUGUGCUCACACUCCUCUCUGCCUGCUUUGGAGAAGGCUGAAUUGUGAGCUCUACUCUUUCUGCAAGUGGAAGAUUAGUGCUUUCUGAAUCUGAGAGAAAGGCAAGUGCCUGCAACUUAGAGCUGUCACUUUGUGUGAGUGGUGGUCUUUUCAAGUAAAUAUUUUUACCUCCCUAGGCUGGAUAACAGAUUGUGGCUCUUUGGUUUCUAUUUUUGCUUAUCUCAUCUAGAGUGAAUUGUAAGCAGGCAGGCUGUGCUUGUUGCCUGCCAGCGCAAGCCAGCCAAUCUAGUGCAAAAUCUGAUUAUAAGUCUUUUAUUUUCAACUCACUUAAACUCUAGUACUGUCCAGAUCUGCCAGCAAUGCUGCUCUGUCUCUGCAGGGGAUUGGUCUUUCCUGCCUGGAGAAUACCUUUAUCCCCAUUCCGCUCUUUUUUUUUUUUUUGCAGUGUAUGUAUGUGCACAUAUAAGGGAGGGAUGGGAGGGAGGAACAGCUCCCCUAAGAGACAAACAUCCAUUUCUCUCCCUAAGCUGGAAACCUAUUUAAAUCUGCUUGAUGGGAAUCAGCCCUUCAGCUGAUUCCCAACACAUGCACAAGGUAGGGUGAGCUGCUCUGCUGAGUUUUUAAAGAGCCCAUACAGCCUGUUACACAGGGUUUGACAUUUCCAGUGCAGGACCCAGCUUUCAGCUGUUUGUGCCAGGCUACCCUGAUUCACACUGGAAAAGUCGAUACUGGUUGUCUGCAACACGUGGGUAUUUUUCUUGCCUGGGGAAAAUAUCAACCAAAAGGUUUAGUAAUUUCUGAAAUUGAAUUUAGGAAGGGUAUAUUGAUUUUCAAUGGGGGGAAAAGACCCCAAACCUUUUUAUGGAGAAAGUUUGUUUUGAAAUUGAGCAAAGGAGGCCUUUGUCACAUGCUUUUUCAUGCCCCAAAGAAAAUCUACUCUCAUUUGCCCAAAUUUUAGGAUAUUUCAAAUCCCAAUUUAUGGAGAGACUUGCUACUGCUUAAGGGUUAAGGUUGUCCCAGAGCAAGCUCUUGACUCUCACAGUUACAGUCCUGUUUGUGCAUCAUUCCCACAGUUCAAAUAAGGCUCUCCAGCCCCUCUCAGCUCCUGGCCUGGGCACGCACUCUCAGUACAAAGCCACUACACAUGGUGCAGCCCAGGAUUAUACCAUGGAGACAGAAUUUCCCAAUAAUGGUUGUUUCCAGCUGCCACAUGCUGGGCUGGACCCAAGCAACGAAUGGAGAGCAGGGACACUUUGCUGCACUUUCAGUGACCUCUCUGUUGGCAUCUAGGCAAUGUGAAGGAAGAAACUGCCUGACUCAGAGGCAAGCAGUGCAAGAGCCAGAUCUGAGGCCUUCUUGUGGAAACCCAGCAGGCUGAACUGGAAGUAGGAGUAUGUGGGGUGAAAACUGGGACUUGCAGAGAGGGCAAAAAGUCAGGAUUGGCAGUACAGGAAUACUGUAAUUACUACAGCAAUGUUGUGAAGCCGUUAGAGAAAAUGACAUUUGGCAGAGACUGAAGAUCCAGAACAUUGGGGUUGUAGGCUGAAGAGGUGAAUGCAAGAUGGGGGUGAAAACACUGCUCAAGAAACUGAGGCACAAGAAAAGGAAACUGAUAGAGAAGUUCCUAUGAAGAGGGGAUAUAUUCUGAGAAUGCAGUCCCAGGAAACACACUGGGUCUAGAAACUAGUGGAUGUGGGUGGCUUUUGCAAGUGGACAUAGUGAGCAGUCCCAGACGAGAGAGAGCCAGGACAAAGAGUCAGGAGGGAAUUCAGAAAAAUUGGGCAAGGAGAUGUGGAAUACAGGCUUGGCUUGGCUUGGAGUUUGUAUACAAGGGCUUGUUUCUAAUGAAUGUUGGGGAAUUAAACAAAUAAGGCAACAAUUGCAACAAAACAAAAAGUAGCCAAAUUAUGAUCUACUUGUCAAAGACCUGUAAGUGUACACUCUGAGAAGACAAGAGGAAGCCCAGGACAGGAGCAGCUGCCUCGUUUGGACACAGGACCCACCCUUGCACUACUUGCAUGCUGAGCUGGCCACUGCCAGAGGGGACCACACCAUGCCCACUCAACUGGCUCUAGCAGGGAUGUGGGAGCCCAUGGUGGGUAGGUUUGCUGACUGUGGGCAUUCCUGGAAGCGACACUGCAGGCAGGGCAAGUCAAGAAUGUCACAUGCUGUGUGUGCAUCUUUCUCAGGGUGGACCAUACAGAUUUUCUAAUGUGAUUUUUACUUGCUUUCUGCUUGCCACCACUUGGUGGUCAGGCUGUUGGCUGCAUUCUGGCUCCAAACAGGAGCAGAGGUGCUGGCUAUCUCAAGUAACAAUAUGGCUCUUAAUGAUUUUAAACUAUCAAUCAUAUUAUUAUGGCAAGAUGAAAAUUGUGAAAUCUGCUCUAGAUUAAAUAUAUUGUAGUAUUCAUCAAAUUAUAAGCAGAUGAUUUUUGUACUUAGCAGCUUUCUUGUAUAGAUCCUUGCACUUUUGGAAAUAGCUCCUGAUCUUCCUCCUCUGACCAAGGUGUAUGGGCAUAACUGUGAGUGUUCAGGGUAGGUUGAUCCUGUUACUCGGGGUUGUGUUUAAUGAAAACUCCAGCUGUCUCCAGGUUUCCGUGUGCAGAAGGUUGUAAUGCCACACAGAUGGCACACAGGCCCAUGCCUGGUGCUGGUCUUCAUUUCUCUCUGCAGCAACACUGUUUGGGUGGGGCCAAUCUACUGUCACUUAAGAUCAACCAGGUUCCAUCAGCAUUUAAGAGUCUAUGUGGCAUUUUCUAUGUGAUGACCAAAUAUGUUUAAUAAGGCUGGUGUUAGCACAGACCACUGUAGGAAUCACUCCCUGGAGCUCUGGGGGUGGUUUUAUUGUACAGAGCCCACUGACAAUGUUUACUAGAGUAACACUUCAGUUACCAUUGAAACUCUUUGAGAAAGGAUGACUGAAGGCUUCAUCCGUGGACUGAUCUAACCCUGGUAAGAUGGUACCAGCAGUUACUCUGGGCUGAAGUCAGCUACAUUUCUUUCAUUCUCUUGACAAUCCUUUUUAUCAUAGUGAUUGGGAUAGUGUUGGUGUUUUGUUUCAGCUGGAAAUCUGACAGUGUCCCUCAUGAGACCUUACCAGGGCAUGCCAUGGAUGGCACCUGUCCUGCCAGGACAGCUGGCUCGGGCAUUGGUGGCUGCAGCUCAGGAGAGCAUUGAGCAGUGCUGUUAAAGUGGCACCUUUGUCUUCAGUAGCUUUUUACCCCAUCGUGAGCAUCCAGCAUCAGAUGGGUGUGGGGAUGAACAGAUAUGGAUAACACUUCUUUUCCAAUUUAUGUAUCAGUUACAGCAUUACAUUGUAAAACCUACACACUAAACUAGAUUAAAAUAUCCUCCAAUUUCAGUUUGUGAUUUUUAUGAUCUUUUUCCUGGUAAUACCUAAUGCUGUACAUUACUUUGUAUGUUCAAAGCAGUUUCUGUAUCCUCAGCUAUAGUUAUCUUCAGCAUGUCUACAAAUCAAAUCCGAGGUUAGGAAGUCAGCACCCAAAACAAAGCAUAUGAAACUAAGGAGUAGCACAAUAAGAACUCAUCUGCUGAAACCUUCUUACAGAAGCAGACUCCAUUCCCCCAGUGACAGAGUUCUGCUACCAUAAUUGUAAAGCAAUCCUAUUUCUUCCUGCAGUCGCCUGUGGCAUCAUUCAUCAUUCAUUUUCCAUCUUCUGCAACAAUGGGAACAAGGGUCUGGCAGACAACAGAUACUUUUGGCUCAGAAAUUGUGUCAUACCCACACCAGGCCCAAAAAAGAAAUAUUCAGUGUUGUAAGUGAAAACUAUGCUAAAAGUUAGAAUUACAAAAUUAGCUUUGUCAAGUUUUAGUGGUUGAUUGUGUAAUAUUAAUACUGUUGGAAUAUAUUUUUCUUUUCUGAAUACAGAUCCAUUCCUGUGUUCUACCUGUUUGGAAGCUCACAGUCUUUCUCCUCACAGCAGGUGCUGAGAAAAAAUUAUAGGAAGUAAGAAAAACAGGGAAGUUAAUUUGAACUAGUCAAUGCAGGCAGAUGGAACAUGCUGGCAUUACCAUUUCACUGCUAUUUAGAAUGAGAAAGGCCAACAGAAAGGGUUCAAGGACAUUUUUGCAGACAAACUCCUGGAAGCAAUUAUGUUGGGAUAAGCAUAAGACUACACAUAUGCUGUUUUAUAAGAAACAUUAUAGUCCCUCUAUACAAGGCUUCUGCACCAGAAAAUAUUAUUUGGUUUUAUGAAAAUAUCUGGAAAGUAGACAAAGUAAGUGAUUGAUUUUUCUUCAACUUGAUGAUUCAUUUGUAGUUCUGGAAAUACCAUAAUAACAAUAAUCUUGCAGCAAAUAAUGUGGUAGUUUCUACCACUGAACAGACCAGAGAGAGAGAGGUGGGACUAUCUGGUUCCAGGUUGUUUAUGCUGUACAUGUGUCAGCACUUUGUGUGCAGUCUGUCACAGUGUGCAGGUGGCCUUUAGGAUAGUCUGUGUAAAGUACUACCUUGGGGAGUUCCAGCUUUUUGUCCACUGCUUGAGUGGGAGCUCAGAAGCAAUCUUCUCUCUGGAGCACUCUCCAGACACAGCCUCAGAACUGCAGUGUUACUAAAUACCCAAAUAAAAUGCAAAAUUAUUGAGGGAAAACUUGUGGACCAAGUAUGCUGCUCACUAAACCUGUUUGUCUUUCUAGACACCAGCAAAGGGUGAUGAAAAGGACUCUUCUAUUAAAAAAAAAAUAACAAACAACCCAGCCUGUUUGUGAUAUGUAAUGUUAUUUCCUUUCAGAAUCAGGUUGGCAAUGUCUCUUUAAUGUGCAGCACUGUGAACUUAAAAGAAAUCUCAUUAUCAGCCUUUCUAGCCUUAAGCACUUCAUCAAGUAUUCCAUGACUGCUGGCUUGCAGAUGCUGCAGUUAAGGUGCUGGGUGGUGGGGUUUUGUUUGUGUUCCCUUAGGUCUUUUUCUUGUUUUCAUAUGUGGCUAUAAAUAUCUUACUCCUGAGAAAAGACAUGAAAGUACUUACACAGCCAUUAAUUAGACAUCACAUGAUUUUUUUUUCUCAAAUUCUGAAGUCACAAAGUAUAACUUUUAAUUACCUGUUUUUGUUUGGGGAAUAGUAGUUUCUUCCUCAGGCAUAUAUCAAGAUGAUCAGAAACAUGUAUAAUUUCUUCUCCAGAAUUCUUGAUUUCCCCUGGCCAACUUUUAAUAAAUAAGAAAACAUCUAUGCCUGAAUCAAAGAGUUAUGCACCCCUGAGUAAAAGUUCCAGUUCUUCUGUUGUGGGUCUCAGCACAGUACAUCUAUCAUGCAUUGUUCACAGAGAUUCUUGAGAUAGAGAUCAAAACCGAGUAUAGUUCAUUUCAGUUAAUUUCUUAAUAUCUAAAUUAUAGGCAGAAAACUUAAUUCCAAUGUAGUCCUAUACAACCAGCUAUGCAAGUAACUUUUUUAAUCUUUCCCUGCCCCAAAAUAGUUGGUAAAUGAAACCAUACCACCUAGUUUAGACUACAUCCAGAGACUAUUACAUGCUCAUGCUGUACAUCCAAGCAUAAAGGGGAAGACUCCUUUUUGCAAAAUCCAAACAUGCGAGUUUAGGCUGAGUGGUGUGGUAUUUUGGGGAGGCAGCUUUCAUUGCAGUAGAAGCUCAUAAUGAUCCACUGGUGUCAGAAACAGCUACAAAUUGCUGAGAGAGCUUUCAGACAAAUGAGCCAUUGAAGCCAUGAUUCACUAUUUGCAGUACUUCAGGCUUCAAAACUCCUUCUUGCAGUUCCACUCCCAUCAGCAUGCAGGAGACAAAUGUGGGGCACAGGACUGUGUGAGGACUGCACUCACAGCUGCAGAGCCUCCACUCUGCUGAAGCUUUUGAAAUAGCUCUGCGGAGGAGGAUUUCACAGACAUCUGAAGGUAUCCUAAUGACUUUUAGACUUUGAUGUGCUUGGGCUAACCCAGUUCAGAUUCUCAGUACAUACAAAAUAUUAAGACAUCUUUUAAUGUUUAAUUUCUUUAGUUUCUUUUCUUCCUUUUUUUUUUUCUCUGCUUGUUUUUAUUCCUUUCUGCUCAGUUUCUAAAGAGUCAAGGCUUAGAUGUCCAUGUCUCCCCAAUAAUUAUUGGAUUUGUUACCAAGUUUGAAUUAGAAUUGACUAAAUUCAAACAUAUUUGAAUUUACUCAGAGGCGAGUUUAAUUUUCUGAAAACAGGCAGCUGAGAGAAGAAAUAAAUUAAAAUCUGUGAUUCCUCACUGAAAAACUACAAGAGCUCAGCUCUUAUUAGGUGUCAGGGAAUCUGUUCAGGGGAGAGAACAAUGUCUGUCUGCACCCAAACCACUAUAAAAGCUUCCAUGAAAACUCUGUAUGGAUAGAAAAUGGGGGAAUCACAGUACAGACACUUUGUGUAUAGGGUGUUGUACCAUUGCCAUUUCUUUGUCCAGUGUGAAAGCAGGGAUGAACCAUUACUUAUGACUUGUGCCCUCCUUUCCUUUCCACCUAGUGUUGUCCCAAUGUCCCCCAAGCUGCAUCCCUGAAAUUUAUUUCCUGCCUCCCAACUAACACAACAGAAGUUUAUGAAUUCAGAUUUGAAUUUUGUUUAUUUGCCAUCCAAACCAGCAUUUCAACUACUCCCUGCCUGCUCUGUGAAAUACUUACUGUAAAAAAGCUCUGCUGUGGUCAUAGGCUAUUUGCUAUUUUAAUUUGAUUGCAGAUGUUCCUGCACUCCCCUAAGGCUGGCUGUGUCUCUUUCACACUUGGCUUUCAUUUGCUUUUCCAGCCUGUAUUCAUAUCAGGAAGACAUUUGUCUGAAUCAGUGGCACACCCAUCCUAUGACCGUAAAUUGGCAUUCUCACUAGUUCUUAGCCUAAAUUAAAAGUUCUCUGUUUCUCAUAGAUAUUGUAAACCUGCUUUUCUAAGCUUUACAUCUUUAUAGAAAUACAGCUCUGGAUUGUGAUGAAUGGUUUUUGGGGUCCUUAGGACAUCUGGCUGUCAUAAAACCUGAAAGAACAGUAUUUAUAGCAAUAUUUUGAAUUUAGAAAUUACUACUAUUAACAAUCACAGAUUACUAAAGCAUGUGGUUUAAUCUGAAGGAAUUGUGAUCAGAGAAUAAACCACUGGGCUCAGAGAGAGAACUGGUAGUCACUCAGUGCACACUCUGUUUUUCCUCUUUCUAAUUUUGCAAAUGGUGUGAGAGCAGAUCUAGAAUGCUGGAGAUGUAUGAUGAAUACAUGGAUGAUCGUGGAAGUGCUGGCUACUCUGGUCACAGACAUCUGUCUUUGGGAAAGGCCAACACUUAAAGCUCUAUUAAAGGCAUCUCAGUGAGUAUUUGAAUUGCCAAGGCAUUGAGGGACAAUAUGUCCCACCUGUGAUGAAGAAGCAAGAGCACCACUGACCAAGUGGCUGUUUUCAGGUGCAGAGUCAUAUUUUUAUGGAAGAAAAGGGCCAGUCACCCAUUUUCCAAUUUUCUUUUUUUAUUAUGGCUAUACCUUGAAAGUCCAACUCUUCCAUGACUAAAACUGAGCUUGAGCCAUGCUUUCUGUGACUCUCAAAACUGUGUUAUUUUAAAUGCUCUGUCAGUGUUCCUGUGAGAUUCCGUCAGUUGAUCCCUGUCAGCCAAGAAAACUACCUCUACCUUAUCCUACGGCACACGUGUUGGUCAUUGACUGUGGGUACAGUGGCCACAGACCCUCUGAUCACUUUCUUCCAUCCAGAAUCUUUUUUGCUACAUUCCUGUCUUGCACCAGCUGUGCUAUAUCACUCUCUUUGGCUUCUCAUCCCAACCUUUUUCCCUUGCUCCAUGCUCUCUGUCCAGACACCUCUCCCUCUCUAGCCUGUUCCUUCCUUGGGUGAUUAUUUCUUCUGGAUUUCCCCAUAGCAGCAACAGGGUCCAAAGUAGUAAAUGAGAAACUUGCUGAGGAAAACCACCUCAGUCAGCCCCAGACUAGCAGAGAAUCACUGAAGGCAGGAUCUUUGAAACACCAAGCUAUGAAUCUCUAUCAAGACCAAACUGAUCUUGCUAAGGCUCAGAAUUCAUCCAGGCUGAGUUGGAUUUCCAGGGUGGCUAAAGCACUCCUGUCAAAUUUAAUGCUUUUCCUGAAAAAGUAUGGGGCCUUUGGGACUGUCUAAAGAUGAGGCUGCCAUUCUUCUCAGUGUGAGGGAAACUUAUACUUGUUGAAGUGCAAAAGCAUCUUGGCUGAAAUUUUUAUAUAGAGUCUGAGACAAUUCUUGGUAGAAGCACACAUGCAUCCCACGUAUCCAGCCUUAGGCAGACACCUGCCAUGGAAAAUGUGAGCUCUGGUGACUGAAGACUGACAAUAGCAUCAGCAAUGGAAAAUGUGGGCUAAUAGCAGGAACUAUCAGGCAGUAUUUAACAGGUGAGUUUUCCCAAUGCCACCCUAAAUUAUCCCACUACUGCAAAGCUUUUAAAAGAUUCAAUGAAGUUAUUUGUUCUUUGCAGUAAUUUUCCUCUUUAAAACCUUUGGCAUGCUCUUGUUCGCAUAAAAUAACGAUUUACGGAAAUAGAGGAAGUUGAAAUCCCACCCAUCCUUUUCUCUCCUGGUUUAUUUAUUUUCCAUGUGAGAUUAAUGAGUUUCCUGCAACAGGGCUAGAUCUGCUCACACAUUGUGCAGAUAAGUUAAUAUUUAUUUCCUUUUCCAAAGGGCAGCAGACACUUUCGUGUUCCCUGGUUUUUAAAAGCGGACAGUAUGUCAAACAACACUUGAAUCAACCAUCCUAAACUAUAAAAUGCCACCUUUACAUUGCUGACUGGAGUUAAACAGACUGGUAAAUCAGGGUGAGCUGUACUGCUGGAUGCUAACAUGGAAGCUUAAUUUAACUGGCUUCAUUUUUUUUUUUUACCAGCAGAUACUUUGGAAAGAGCACAUCUGCCUAUUUAAGGGAUUUUCUUUAAUUUAGUGCCUGUCUGGUGUCAGGCUCCACUGCUGUGUGCAGUGAAGCUCACAGAAGCUGGUUUCCUAUCCCCUUACCCUCCCAGUUCCUUCCUGCACCCCAGUGCCAUUGCUCCUUCCUGCAAUAUCUCCAGGUGCCUGGGCAUCCCCUCUGGCAGACUGGAGGGAUCCUGGAGCAGCCACACUCGAUGGAGCACCCCCUCCAGUGGGUGCUGCUCCCUUUGCCCAGCUGGGGAGGCCAGGCAUUCAUCUCUCCCGGACAAGCUGCCAGUUUUCACUUUUGGAAUUUCUCUGUCACAUGCCAGGAAGUGGACAAGUGGCAGGGGACAGGAGGAAGGCUGGGGAGACGUGAUGGGCAGAUGGUGUGAACAUACAUGCAACAUUUCCUAGGGAAACCAGGCUAAAAGGAGCUCCUUAUUGCCAGGGCAUUAUGUAAAAGAGAUGAGAAAUGCUGUGUGUGACUUGGUUCAAGAGGCAAAGGAUAUUUGUACUGUUAGUUAAUUUCUUCUUCCAGGGUCAGCUUCAGUGCACCACUUACAGCUCCUUCCUCUCUCUCUCUCUAGUCAAGUCACCCCUAAUAGCCAAGGAGAAAAAUAACCAUUCUCUUAACGUAUGAUUUUAAAUUUUCUGUUUUAAAUGUAAGCUGGACAAGUAAUUUGAAAAAGUUACAGCUGUCUUAGGCCCCUGAGUUUCUAACUCCCUGCUGCUGGAAGUGUGAAUCGGGGCAGUGCAGCAGCAGUUGGUGGAGCUGUGCCAGGGUAAACGAAGGGAACUAUUCCAACCAUGUGUGCAAACUCCCCCAGAGAUUUACUCACCUUCUGAAACCAAAGAGCUGAAAGUUCAUUCCAAUUUCACUUAUCUGCCAAGGCUGAAGUUCAGUAAUUCAUAUUUUUAGAUUAAUAAAUAAUGAAACAGCUAUACCAGAGCAGGGAAGGCUUUGAUUAAGCAUUUUAUAGCAAGUAAAAGAAAACAUUGAAUCUUGUGCUCAGGAGCUGGCAGCAAUGGGAAGCAGGAAUGCCUUGGUUCAAACACGUCUGUAUUUAAAAAAAUAAAGGGAAAGAAAAAGAAACCUGGAGAGGUUCUUUCCUAUGACUUUACAGGCAGCACAAUAAGCCUGGCACUUCAAUAAGGGAACUGUCAUAGAUACAGCUUUCAUUGUCUGUGCUCCCACUGCCACAGAUAAAGAAUAAGAGAGCCUCUGACUCACAGCACUGGAGCAACACAUCUCUUAUCUGACACCCCAGUCUCAGCUAGAAUGAAUUUUUCAAGACACAUGCUCACUGCAAUUGAGAAUUUCAGAGCAAGUAACAGGCAAGCAGUGUUACUACUGCAUUACCUGUAAACCUUGUACUUCAGAAGCCUGUGUUUGAAAAGCAGACCUGCUGUUCUGAGCACUAUAAGCACUAAAUGUUGCAUUAAAUACCCUCAGAGAGAGCAUUCUACAUGUUCCAAGGGUUCCCUGGAUCUCAGACCUUCCACUCCAUUAGAGGCAGUGGCAGUUUCAGAGCUCUCACUUUGCACACCCCUCUCUUAGAAGGGGGCCUCCUCCCUCAGAAACAACAGGCAGGAUGAAAUCAGAACGGGACAACUCAUUUCCCACUCGCCAUUUUUAAAAGAAAAUAAACUAAAAAUGAUUGCAGAAGUUCAAAGAGAGACCUGUAAAGUCCUUCAGAAUUACCCUGAGGCUCCCAGGAAGAAUAAGGUCUGACAGGGUUCAUAGUUUUAUGUAGUCAGGCAGGGACUAAAAAAGAUGUAAGUCUGUCAUGCCUCCUUUUCUCUUUUCCAUACUCAUCAGUAGCACAUGAAUGAGAAUGAAUGGAGCAGCUCAAGAAUAUUGCUACAGAGGUACAGAUUGGGAGAGGAUUUCUCAUUGAGAAACUAAGUAUUUUUUUGCAAGAAAUACACCAUCCAAACUCCAGAGAUACAACAGUGCUCCAUAAAGGAAGUUUUAAGUAUUUUCCCCAUAACAAGUCAUUUAGAUGGCUUAGCCUCCUUAAUUAUGGUUUUUUGGAGAUGAGUUGUCAGGCAUUUUAUUUUUAAGAUUUGAGAGUUACAAAUGAAGAUUAAUGUGACCUAGAAAAUAUAUUUGCUCAUUUAACAUCUGGCCUCAGCCUUUGUUUUUAGUAGCAGGAAAAUUUUCAUUAACUGUUCUUGAAAUGGUUACAGUAGGCUGUGAGCAGAGUGCACAAGCAACAGGAGGGGGUUGCAGUCAGUGAAAAAUGAACUCAGGUCAGCAGCUGGUGAACUCUGGUUGCUGAAGACUCUAUAUAUUCCUAUGGGACUAGUUCCCAUACCUCUUUUGCCUUGAGAUUACACUGCCACCUCAGGGACAACCACAUCUCUUUUGCUUUGAGAUUACACUUAGCUAAAUUCCUGAUUUAUGGACUAAAGAAUGGCUCCAUUACAAUUCCUCUCCUCCUAGCCACACCACUCUUGGACUUGCACUGAUGUAGUUUCAAAAAGAGAUGGACUUUGUUCCCACCUAAUUUUGUAGCCUACUGACCUACAGUCAUUGGAACUGUUGGCUUAGUUUUUUUCAGUCAAGAAGGAAGUUAGAGUGGUGGCUUAUUUCCAGAGCAAGAGCCCCAGCAUCCAGGUUGUUACACAAACCUGUGUGGGUUGAAAUGAAAGUUGCCACAGUUGCUGCUAUCUUAGGUGUGAAGAAAGCAUGGAGCUGCUCAGUUUGGCAAGGUGGCUGUAUCUCUGGACAGGUGUGGUAAUAGAAGUUUGGAUACAAAUGAUGCUCAGGUGCCCAUAAACUCAGGCACAUAAACAAGCUUUUUGUGAUUGGUCUGUUGGGCUGAGGCAUUAUAAUUUCUCCCAGGGCUUGCUUCUUUGUCUUGGACCUCUCUCACUAAGGUUGUCCUGCCACCCAAGCAGUGAGUUGGAGAGUCCUCUCUGCCACUGCAAAUAAGACUGGGUAGUUCUGGCCUCAGCUGUAACAACUUCCCUCUGCUGUCCUCUGCUGCAGCCAAUGCUCAGGGCUGGAAGCUGCUCUGCUGUGACCAUCUGAUGAUAGUGGUGCUGGUAGCUGCUCUUUCCACAUUUCCAACCACCAGAUUUGAAGACUUGUCAGAGACAGGUGUAAACAUUCAUCCUUUCU
Molecule: long non-coding RNA, 17680 nt
Organism: Passer domesticus (house sparrow)
Lineage: Eukaryota; Metazoa; Chordata; Aves; Passeriformes; Passeridae
Exons: 6
Source: RefSeq, a predicted model, not a curated record